This 472-nucleotide ribosomal RNA is filed under the name uncultured bacterium. Its description in RNAcentral is "SSU rRNA". It matches the Rfam family "Bacterial small subunit ribosomal RNA", at positions 26 to 518 of the family's 1533-position model. The record is from RNAcentral.
AGGACGAACGCUGGCGGCGUGCUUCAUACAUGCAAGUCGAGCGGAAAGGCCCUUCGGGGUACUCGAGCGGCGAACGGGUGAGUAACACGUGAGCAAUCUGCCUUCAGCUCCGGGAUAACAUUUGGAAACAGAUGCUAAUACCGGAUAUGACCUCAGAGGACAUCCUUUGAGGUGGAAAGUUUUUCGGCUGAAGAUGAGCUCGCGGCCUAUCAGCUUGUUGGCGGGUAACGGCCCACCAAGGCGACGACGGGUAGCCGGCCUGAGAGGGCGACCGGCCACACUGGGACUGAGACACGGCCCCAGACUCCUACGGGAGGCAGCAGUAGGGAAUAUUGCGCAAUGGGCGAAAGCCUGACGCAGCAACGCCGCGUGGGGGAUGAAGGCCUUCGGGUCGUAACCCUUUCAGCAGGGACGAAGUGCAAAUGACGGUACCUGCAGAAGAAGCACCGGCUAACUACGCGCCAGCAGCCGC